RNAcentral lists this ribosomal RNA (495 nucleotides) under uncultured Armatimonadota bacterium. RNAcentral's name for it is "bacterial SSU rRNA". It matches the Rfam family "Bacterial small subunit ribosomal RNA", at positions 8 to 523 of the family's 1533-position model. Lineage: Bacteria; Bacillati; Armatimonadota. The record is from RNAcentral.
AGAGUUUGAUCCUGGCUCAGGACGAACGCUAGCGGCGUGCCUAAGAAAUGCAAGUCGAGCGGGUGGAGCGAUCCACCUAGCGGCGAACGGUCGCGUAACACGUAAGCAACCUGCCCCGAAGACCGGGACAACACUUCGAAAGGGGUGCUAAUACCGGAUGUGGUUGAGUGUGGGCAUCCAUGCUCAACUAAAGCAGGUAACUGGCUUCGGGAUGGGCUUGCGGCCUAUCAGCUAGUUGGUGGGGUAACGGCCUACCAAGGCGACGACGGGUAGCUGGUCUGAGAGGACGGCCAGCCGGACUGGGACUGAGACACGGCCCAGACUCCUACGGGGGGCAGCAAUUAGGAAUCUUGCGCAAUGGGCGAAAGCCUGACGCAGCGACGCCGCGUGAAGGACGAAGUCUUUUGGGACGUAAACUUCUUUUGCCAGGGACGAAGGAUGUGACGGUACCUGGUGAAUAAGCCCCGGCUAACUACGUGCCAGCAGCCGCGGUAA